GAUGAAGAACGCAGCAAAAUGCGAUACUUGGUGUGAAUUGCAGAAUCCCGUGAACCAUCGAGUUUUUGAACGCAAGUUGCGCCCGAAGCCAUUAGGCCGAGGGCACGCCUGCCUGGGCGUCACACGUCGUUGCCCCCCCAUCUACUCCUUCGGGAUUGCGGGGGGCGGAUGAUGGCCUCUCGUGCGCCUCGUCGCGCGGUUGGCCUAAAUGCCAAGUCCUCGGCGACGCACGCCACGACAAUCGGUGGUUGCGAAACCUCGGUUGCCUGUCGUGUGCGGUCGUCGCGCAUCGAGGGCUCGAAAAAAUUGCCGGGCUUCGGCUCGACUUUCAACGCGACCCCAGGUCAGGCGGGGUUACCCGCUGAAUUUAAGCAUAUCAAUAAGCGGAGGA
This 391-nucleotide unclassified non-coding RNA is filed under the name soil metagenome. RNAcentral describes it as "partial contains 5.8S ribosomal RNA, internal transcribed spacer 2, and large subunit ribosomal RNA". The stretch from base 1 to 122 matches the Rfam family "5.8S ribosomal RNA", at positions 35 to 154 of the family's 154-position model. The record is from RNAcentral.